This 1441-nucleotide ribosomal RNA is filed under the name uncultured organism. RNAcentral describes it as "16S ribosomal RNA". It matches the Rfam family "Bacterial small subunit ribosomal RNA". The record is from RNAcentral.
GCUGGCGGCGUGCUUAACACAUGCAAGUCGAACGAAGCACUCUACUUGAUCUCUUCGGAGUGAUUGUUUUGUGACUGAGUGGCGGACGGGUGAGUAACGCGUGGGUAACCUGCCUCAUACAGGGGGAUAACAGUUGGAAACGACUGCUAAUACCGCAUAAGCGCACAGGGUCGCAUGACCUGGUGUGAAAAACUCCGGUGGUAUGAGAUGGACCCGCGUCUGAUUAGCCAGUUGGUGGGGUAACGGCCUACCAAAGCGACGAUCAGUAGCCGACCUGAGAGGGUGACCGGCCACAUUGGGACUGAGACACGGCCCAAACUCCUACGGGAGGCAGCAGUGGGGAAUAUUGCACAAUGGGGGAAACCCUGAUGCAGCGACGCCGCGUGAGCGAAGAAGUAUUUCGGUAUGUAAAGCUCUAUCAGCAGGGAAGAAGAAAUGACGGUACCUGACUAAGAAGCACCGGCUAAAUACGUGCCAGCAGCCGCGGUAAUACGUAUGGUGCAAGCGUUAUCCGGAUUUACUGGGUGUAAAGGGAGCGCAGGCGGUACGGCAAGUCUGAUGUGAAAGCCUGGGGCUCAACCCCGGUACUGCAUUGGAAACUGUCGGACUAGAGUGUCGGAGGGGUAAGUGGAAUUCCUAGUGUAGCGGUGAAAUGCGUAGAUAUUAGGAGGAACACCAGUGGCGAAGGCGGCUUACUGGACGAUUACUGACGCUGAGGCUCGAAAGCGUGGGGAGCAAACAGGAUUAGAUACCCUGGUAGUCCACGCCGUAAAAGAUGAAUAAUAGGUGUGGGGGAGCCUUGCUUUUCGGGUGCCUGCAGCAAACGCAAUAAGUAUUUCAAUUUGGGAGGUCGGUCGCAAGAACGAAACUCAAAUGAAUAGUACGGGGACCCCGCACAAGCCGGUGGAGCAUGUGGUUUAAUUUGAAGCAGCGAGAAGAGCUUGGCCAAGUCUCGACAUCUCGAUGACAGAACAAGUAAUGUGUUUUCUCUUCGGAGCAUAGGCGACAGGGGGUGCAUGGUUGUCGUCAGCUCGUGUCGUGAGAUGUUGGGUUAAGUCUCCGCAACGAGCGCAACCCCUAUUCUUAGUAUCCAGCGGGUAAGCCGUGCACUGUAGGGUGCCUCCCAGGGAUAAUCUGGAGGAAGGUGGGGAUGAGGUCAAAUCAUCAUUCCCCUUAUGACUUGGGUUACGCACGUGCUACAAUGGCGUAAACAAAGGGAAGCGAGCCUGCGAGGGGGAGCAAAUAUCAAAAAUAACGUCUCAGUUCGGACUUCAGUCUGCAAUUUGACUGCACGAAGCUGGAAUCGUUAGUAAUCUCGAAUCAGAACGUCGCGGAGAAUACGUUCCCGGGUUUUGUACACCCCGCCCGCCACCCCAUGGGAGUUGGUAAAGCCGGAAGUCAGUGACCCAACCGCAAGGAGGGAGCUGCCGAAGGCAGGAUC